GCGAGUCCACUUCACGUGGAGCCGGAGAGGACUCGGACGCGAGAUCUUCGGCUGCCCGUUUCUUGAACCCAGCAUCCUCAGGUCUUCCACUUGAACUCGUUCGAGGGAGGAGCAGCAGCAGCGAAGGCAGUAAGAAAGAAAUCCAAUUCCUCUACUCUCUUCUCCCUUGCUUGAUCUCUUAUUAAAACCCUGGAAACGGAAGAAAAUCUCAAGGUGAUAUCUCUGAGGCCGUUUAUUUCUGAUUCCUGGGCUGCUCGUUCCACUUCCAGUAGGCAAAUCAUCAGUUCCUCCCACUUCUUUUUCUUGUCUAGUUUACUUCGAUGUGGAGUGCGCUUUUGCUCGGAUCUUCUCUUGCUUUCUUCAUUUCAAACCUAAGCAUGGAGAAUUCUGUGUUGCACGGAUUGGGUUUGUAGUAACGUGCAUUUCUUGGCGCGUUGUCGUCGCUAAUGCCUAAAUGGGGUUUUAAAUUUUUCUUUUGGUAAAAAUCAUAACCGUAUCCUACGGGCAAUUCAAACAGGAUUAGCUGUGCAUAGUUUUGCUGCUGAUUUCUUAUGAGUUUCCCAUUGCGCGGGGUUAAUAAUUUUGGGAGGUUUAUCGACUUCGGACGGUUGAAAAAGUAAACUUUGCAUAACUUUGGGUUACUCUUCCCUUGUUAAAAUGAAGAGAUUAUGCUAAUUUUUUGGUUCCUCUAGAAUUGGUAUGGUGAUGCGAUGCCUGUGAAUAAUAACAUGCAUUUUAUGUCCAAGCCCUUGUACUAUUUAUUUGCAGUUUUACGAGCAAGUAUUUAUUUUUUAAUUUUUGCUGCGACACGAUUCUACGUUUUUUUCUUUGCAUCCCAUUUUCCAAUCAAAGCCUAGACUUAUUGAUCAUUGUGAGUGACUUUAUUUAUUUAUUUUGUAGGCAUACACCCUUGCAAAUAAUACAUGUUAUUGGCAAUUUCAUGAGAAUCUGGUUUGUUUACUUCAUGUACCCACUAUCUAUCCCAUCAAGGAGACUCGGUGAUAGCUUUUAUUUUCAGUUGUUUGGUACCAGUUUCUAUCAUCUUCCUGGUUCAGCAAAAGCCUUGGAAAGGGAGAAUUCACAGGUUAUCUAUGAUUCCUUAAUUUGGUUCUUGUGCAAAUGGAUUAUAUGCCAUCUGUUGAGAUUUGAAGCCCAUGUGGCAGCCCAGCAGCAGGCCUGGCCCAGACCAACGCACGAGUGCAGCCCAAUGCGGGCGUGCAUGGACGUACGUGGGCCAGCCCAGCAGAUGCGCAGGCAUGGCGUACCGCAGCUCACCACAUUAUUGCGGUUCAUAGGAGGGCCUAUGGACCGACUGCCCAUUUUUCUGUCAUUUCUCCCAGUCCAUGGUGGACCGAUGGCAUGAUCGGAUGGCUUAUCUUCCUCCCGGUGAAAAUCCAAUGGUUGAUGACGAAUCCGGCUGUUUUCAGGACUGUUUCAGGUGUUUUUGACGCCCGUUUUCACCCGUUCAAUGGAGAUCUGACAACAGGCUUCAAGGUUUCAAUGCAACAAUAAAACGGAGUUCUGUUUUGAUGUGAUUUGGUCUGGUUUUGAGCUCUAUUUAAAGGAGCCUCGGCAGAAGUUUAGUAGUACGCUGAGAGUAGAAAAUAGAGAGCACCAAGAGAUUUUUACAGUGAGGUAUAGAGAGGUGUGAGAUUUCUUUUGAGAGAAAAGAGCGUGCUUUUCCCUUGUAUAAGAGAGUCUAAGUGAUUUCUUGUACUUCUAUCAAUUUUGUACUUCUUAUGCCAUGGAAUUUAAUAGAAGAAUGUCAAAGAGAUCUUGUCCGUGGAUGUAGACCAACAAUUAGGCCGAACCACGUUAUAUCUGGUGUGCUUUCAUUUUUUCUUAUUUUAUUGCUUGAUUAUCUCUCUUUUAUUUUGCAUUCUACGUUUGUUCAAGUUAUCUUUCCUCUACAAAAUGAUCUGUAUUUUUACUGUGCUUGUGUGCCGUGUGGGUUGAGGUGUGCUCGGUUACCUUUUGGUCGGUCCUUUCAGUUUGGUAUCAUAGCUAAGAAAAUUCUUUUGUAGUUGGUUUGAUUUGAAACAAUGGCGGACAAAGUGACGACAAUAAAAUAUGAGAUACCGAGGUUUGAUGGAUCAAACUUUGCACUUUGGAAGAUGAAGAUGUAGACGGUAUUGAUCAAAGAUGGUUGUGAAGUUGCUUUGCAAGAAAAAGAACGCAAACCAUAAGAGAUGACGGAUGGGCAAUUUGAGGAGAAAGAUAAGCUGGCAAUGGCGAAGCUCUAUUUGGCGUUGGAUGAUUCGGUAUUGUUUAAUAUCGAGGUAAAGACUUCUGCAAAAGGGGUUUGGAAAAAGUUGAAGAACCUCUAUGAAGGAGAGUCUUUGGUGAAUAAAAUCUAUUUGAGACAGCAAUUAUACGAUCUAAAGAUGAAGGACGGGGCAUUAGUUCAAGAGCAUUUGGAUGCAUUCGGGCAAACUUGUGGUCCUAGAUGUCAGAAUUCAAGAUGAAAAGAAGGCUAGCAUUCUACUUUGUUCUAUAUCGGAGUCUUGGGAUAAUCUCAUUAUGAACUUGAGUCACGUUAAAACCCUCAAGAUGGAGUCAGUUGUUGCAUCAUUGCUUAUAGAGGAGAUAAGACGAAAAUCUAGCCAAGGAAGCUCUUCGAAGGAGGCCAUGGUAGCAUGGAAAAGGUCUCUUGAGAGGGAAUAUGGUAAUCAAGGGAAGAUGAGAUCUAAAUCUAAUGGCAAGAAGAAGAUAAAAUGUUGGAAUUAUGAAAAAUUAAGGCAUAUAAAGAAAGAUUGCCAGGCUAGAGGAGUUGAUACAAAAUCUGAAUCGGAAAACUUUUAAGGCAAUGUAGUAGAAAGUGAAAUUGGUUCGGCUACUUCGGAUGACGGAGAUGCAUUGACGGCAUUGGAGAUAUCCGAGCUUGCAUGUCAUUGGAUUUUGGAUUCGGAGGCAUCUUUUCAUAUGACUCCUUUUAGGGAGUGGUUUCAUACAUACAAACCAUGGGAUGGUGGAGUUAUCU
RNAcentral lists this long non-coding RNA (2980 nucleotides) under Elaeis guineensis (African oil palm). RNAcentral describes it as "long non-coding RNA (EGUI_LNC041304)". The record is from RNAcentral. Lineage: Eukaryota; Viridiplantae; Streptophyta; Magnoliopsida; Arecales; Arecaceae.